RNAcentral lists this transfer RNA (73 nucleotides) under Myxococcota bacterium. RNAcentral's name for it is "tRNA-Thr". It matches the Rfam family "tRNA". From Rfam's summary of the family: Transfer RNA (tRNA) molecules are approximately 80 nucleotides in length. Their secondary structure includes four short double-helical elements and three loops (D, anti-codon, and T loops). Further hydrogen bonds mediate the characteristic L-shaped molecular structure. tRNAs have two regions of fundamental functional importance: the anti-codon, which is responsible for specific mRNA codon recognition, and the 3' end, to which the tRNAs corresponding amino acid is attached (by aminoacyl-tRNA synthetases). tRNAs cope with the degeneracy of the genetic code in two manners: having more than one tRNA (with a specific anti-codon) for a particular amino acid; and 'wobble' base-pairing, i.e. permitting non-standard base-pairing at the 3rd anti-codon position. Lineage: Bacteria; Pseudomonadati; Myxococcota. The record is from RNAcentral.
GCUGGCGUAGCUCAACAGGUAGAGCAGCUGACUUGUAAUCAGCAGGUCGCGGGUUCGAGUCCCAUCGCCAGCU